RNAcentral lists this non-coding RNA (335 nucleotides) under Otolemur garnettii (small-eared galago). Lineage: Eukaryota; Metazoa; Chordata; Mammalia; Primates; Galagidae. The record is from Rfam by way of RNAcentral.
GCCAGGCGUUGUGGCGGGCGCCUGUGGUCCCAGCUACUUGGGAGGCUGAGGCAGGAGACUCGCUUGAGCCCAGGAGUUGGAGGUUGCUGUGAGCGUGAUGCCAUGGCACUCUACCCAGGGGGAUAGCUUGAGGCUCCGUCUCAAAAAACAAAAAAGAACUAUAGGGUUUCAACUAUACUCAUCUUGCCCCUUUAAAAAAAUACAAGAUAAACAAAAAGAAAAAACAAUUUUUUUGAGACAGAGUCUCACUGUGUAGCCUUGGGUAGAGUGCCACGGUGUUUUCAUAGCUCACAGCAGCCUCAAACUCCUGGGCUCAAGAGGUUUUCCUGCCUCAG